CCUGAGCUGGUGGUAGGCAUUGAUGAGGGAGGUGAACUUUGGUGCUUCCAAGGGUUCCUUGGUCCAGGCCCUGUCUCCUGAGAGAUAAAUAUGAUUCCCAUCAUUCCCCUGCUUUAAAACCAACUUUGGGCCUUUACCACCCAUAGCCAAAAUCUAAAUUAUUGCAUAUAGGACACAAUAAUCUUAAGAAACUAGCUCCAAUGGAUCCACUCUUCUUUCUCAACAUUUGUGACUUGUUUGCCCCUAGGAUCCUACGCAUUCAGCCUCUGGUCUCCAGAACCCUCGCUGCCACAGCAAAGGCUCUCUUCCUGGCCCCACCAGCUCCACCGAUAAUGCCUGAAAUAUUAGUCCUACACAAUCUGGCGUGGUUGAAGAGGCCUCAGAGUGAGGGAGAGAGAUGGAGGCCUCUUGCUUGGAGGAGAUUUCAGGAGGCUCAGACCCUGGUGGCACCAGUAAAAGGAAGCCAACUAAGAGUACACAGCCUCUUUGGACUAUGAGUGCAACAGAAGUCCCAGCUUCAAUCUAAGUAGACAUGUCUGGCCAGCUUGCAGAAAGAACACACCAGAAACCUAUUAAAUGCGCGCUGA
RNAcentral lists this long non-coding RNA (587 nucleotides) under Sus scrofa (pig). RNAcentral's name for it is "lncRNA (ENSSSCG00070022495.1)". The record is from RNAcentral. Lineage: Eukaryota; Metazoa; Chordata; Mammalia; Artiodactyla; Suidae.